CAGGGAAAGAUUUAUCGGUGUAGGAUGGAUCCGCGUCCGAUUAGCUAGUUGGAGGGGUAACGGCCCACCAAGGCGACGAUCGGUAGCCGGCCUGAGAGGGCGACCGGCCACAUUGGGACUGAGACACGGCCCAGACUCCUGCGGGAGGCAGCAGUGGGGAAUAUUGCACAAUGGGGGAAACCCUGAUGCAGCGACGCCGCGUGAGUGAAGAAGUAUCUCGGUACGUAAAGCUCUAUCAGCAGGGAAGAUAAUGACGGUACCUGACCAAGAAGCCCCGGCUAACUACGUGCCAGCAGCCGCGGUAAUACGUAGGGGGCAAGCGUUAUCCGGAUUUACUGGGUGUAAAGGGAGCGUAGACGGCAGCACAAGUCUGGAGUGAAAUUCCCGGGGCUUAACCCCGGAACUGCUUUGGAAACUGUGCGGCUGGAGUGCAGGAGGGGUAAGCGGAAUUCCUAGUGUAGCGGUGAAAUGCGUAGAUAUUAGGAGGAACACCGGUGGCGAAGGCGGCUUACUGGACUGUAACUGA
Molecule: ribosomal RNA, 526 nt
Filed under: uncultured bacterium
Lineage: Bacteria
Description: bacterial SSU rRNA
Rfam family: Bacterial small subunit ribosomal RNA
Source: RNAcentral